Molecule: ribosomal RNA, 497 nt
Filed under: uncultured bacterium
Lineage: Bacteria
Description: partial 16S ribosomal RNA
Rfam family: Bacterial small subunit ribosomal RNA
Source: RNAcentral
GAUGAACGCUGGCGGCGUGCCUAAUACAUGCAAGUCGAGCGAACAGACGAGGAGCUUGCUCCUCUGACGUUAGCGGCGGACGGGUGAGUAACACGUGGAUAACCUACCUAUAAGACUGGGAUAACUUCGGGAAACCGGAGCUAAUACCGGAUAAUAUAUUGAACCGCGUGGUUCAAUAGUGAAAGACGGUUUUGCUGUCACUUAUAGAUGGAUCCGCGCCGCAUUAGCUAGUUGGUAAGGUAACGGCUUACCAAGGCAACGAUGCGUAGCCGACCUGAGAGGGUGAUCGGCCACACUGGAACUGAGACACGGUCCAGACUCCUACGGGAGGCAGCAGCAGGGAAUCUUCCGCAAAGGGCGAAAGCCUGACGGAGCAACGCCGCGUGAGUGAUGAAGGUCUUCGGAUCGUAAAACUCUGUUAUUAGGGAAGAACAAAUGUGUAAGUAACUAUGCACGUCUUGACGGUACCUAAUCAGAAAGCCACGGCUAACUACGUG